Long non-coding RNA from Anser cygnoides (Swan goose), 1555 nucleotides. NCBI's taxonomy places the organism in Eukaryota, Metazoa, Chordata, Aves, Anseriformes, Anatidae. The record is from Ensembl.
GCACGGCCUGAACUUAUUUGGAUAUUUCAAGCUGCAAGUUUCAGCUGAACCCAUAAGCAGCAAUUGGAUUUAAGCAAUAAGAAAAGCUUUCCCCAGGUACCUGGAGCUGCUGAAGUUAGAUGGAAAUCACAACACCAUUAAAAGAUGUGUGCCUGGAAGCAUGAUGAUGUUGGACCUUUUUGUACCUUGAAAAGAAAUGUUAAGGCAAGAGACCAGGCGUCCUCUGGGGGAAGUGGAGAAUACAAGAGGAUUGCUCUACCUGUUGGAAGAUUGUGGACAUGUCAGCAGGAAAAAGCUCAGGUUUUGGACGAAAAGGACAGAAAAGACAAGCAAAGUGUGGACUGCAGAAGCAAAGUGAAGAAAAAGCUUACCAAGAUUCUUGGGAGAUUAUUCAAUGUAAGUGAUUCUCCCCCUCUACUUUGCUCUCAUGAGACCCCACCUGGAGUACAGCAUUCAGCUCUGGAAUCCCCAGCACAAGAAGGACAUGGACACAUUAGAAUGUGUCCAGACGAGGGCCACAAAGAUGCUCAAAGAGCUGGAGCACUUCUGCUAUGAAGACAGGCUGAGAGGGUUGGGGUUGUUCAGCCUGGAGAAGAGAAGGCUCUGGAUAGACCUUAUAGCAGCCUUCCGGUACCUAAAGAGGGCCUACAGGAAAGCUGGGGAGGGACUCUUUGUCAGGGAGUGGAGGAAUAGGACAAGGGAUAGUGUCUUUAAACUAAAAGAGGGAAGGUUUAGAUGAGAUAUAGCAAAGAAAUUCCUCACUCAGAGGGUGGUGAGGCACUGGAACAAGUUGCCCAGAGAAGCUGUGGAUGCCCCAUCCCUGGAAGUGUUUAAGGCCAGGUUGGAUGGGGCUUUGAUCAAUCUGGUCUAAUAGGAGGUGUCCCUCUCCAUGACAGAGGGGUUGGGACUGGAUGGUCUUUAAGGUCCCUUCCAAUCCAAACCAUUCUAUGAUUCUAUAUCUCCCAUAAGAAUUGCAUUACUUGCAACGUUAAUUUAUUGAUAUUGAUAUUGAUAUCGAUAUUGAGAGCCAUGUUAGUCAGAAUUUGCUGGAACUAUUUUAAAAAUGCUCUUUUAAUGUGUUUUUAUCUCUCUAAGAAGGGAGAGAGAGAGAGAACAAACUUUGAAAUGUUUUCAGUUUUGAUGAUAUUUUUGUCAAGAUCAGAGACUUACCAGCUGUAGAAAAAUAACCAACUUGUACUCACAUAUGAAAGUAAAAAGCAAGGUUCAGUUCCCUGUUGCAGAGGUUAUUUAGUUUUCUUUUAAGUGGAAAUAGCUCCUACAAAAGCCUCUAAGAGCAACCCACCAAAAACUAGCUAAAAAUAGUGACUUGAAUCUUGAAAAGUAGUGACUCUUAUCUUAUGACUCUUGCAUUCAAGAACUGUUAUGUUCAAAUACCUGCCUGAAGUUAAAUGAUAUUGCUAGACUUCAGAAAAGCAUUUGACACCACCUCCCACAGUAUUCUCCUGAAGAAGCUGGCAGCCCACUGCUUGGACAGGUACACUCUUUGCAGGAUGGAUGGCCAGGCCCACUGAAUCCAUCCAGUAAAUCCAUCUGG